RNAcentral lists this ribosomal RNA (299 nucleotides) under Klebsiella pneumoniae. RNAcentral's name for it is "partial 23S ribosomal RNA". It matches the Rfam family "Bacterial large subunit ribosomal RNA", at positions 426 to 729 of the family's 2925-position model. The record is from RNAcentral. Lineage: Bacteria; Pseudomonadati; Pseudomonadota; Gammaproteobacteria; Enterobacterales; Enterobacteriaceae. RNAcentral also lists the same sequence under 1 other name.
GUGGUAUCCUGUCUGAAUAUGGGGGGACCAUCCUCCAAGGCUAAAUACUCCUGACUGACCGAUAGUGAACCAGUACCGUGAGGGAAAGGCGAAAAGAACCCCGGCGAGGGGAGUGAAAAAGAACCUGAAACCGUGUACGUACAAGCAGUGGGAGCACCUUCGGGUGUGACUGCGUACCUUUUGUAUAAUGGGUCAGCGACUUAUAUUCUGUAGCAAGGUUAACCGUAUAGGGGAGCCGCAGGGAAACCGAGUCUUAACUGGGCGUUAAGUUGCAGGGUAUAGACCCGAAACCCGGUGAU